CAAUACUGAUCUGAUUGUUGAUAUGCAGCCUGGCAGCUUGGAGAGCAGCAUCCAGCUGAAAUGGGUCAGAAAAAAUCACCACCAGUAUAGCAGACAGAAGAAGCUGAUGCCAAGAGAGAGUGAGAGAGCUUUUCCUUCGUCUCCUGUUGAGAAGAGGACAGGAGAGCAAACAUACAGCUUGGAUUAAUGCCUCGUAUACUCUUGUUCACAAAGGAAAUAGAAAAGAACCCAAAAACUUGCUUAAACUGCAAAAACAGAUGAGUUUUAUGCUACUGCACCCUCCUGUUAUAUAUACUAGAAUCCUAUUUACGAAAAUGGAGUCAUCUUGUGAGUCUUUAACUAUUAAACAUUGUCAGAUUUGUAUGUAAAAUAUAUUAAAUGGCAGUUAUUUGA
Molecule: long non-coding RNA, 393 nt
Organism: Alligator mississippiensis (American alligator)
Lineage: Eukaryota; Metazoa; Chordata; Crocodylia; Alligatoridae
Exons: 3
Source: RefSeq, a predicted model, not a curated record